RNAcentral lists this long non-coding RNA (283 nucleotides) under Ananas comosus (pineapple). Its description in RNAcentral is "long non-coding RNA (ACOM_LNC038653)". Lineage: Eukaryota; Viridiplantae; Streptophyta; Magnoliopsida; Poales; Bromeliaceae. The record is from RNAcentral.
CCCGAAGUCUCAAAAUCAUAAUAUAAUAAUUCACUUAUAAUAUUCAAAAUAUUUAUAUACUAAAAAUUAUAAGUUUUUUUUUGGUAGCACGCUAUCCGCUUCGUUUAUUUCAUUUAAAAAUAAACUUAGCUGGAAAUGUGAAUCAACUAGGAUUCCAACUUGGGCCUCAGGUACCAAUCAUCAAACUCUUUGCCACUUGCUCUAAGAAUGGUUAAUAAAAAUUAUAAGUUUUUAGCUUUUUGAUGACUCAGUAAUGAAUUUUUAAAAUUUGUAAUAUUUGAUA